AUGUCCAUCCUCCCGCUCCGGAUGAGCGCGUUGUCGAGCUUGUCCAGGUGGUUGGUGGUGAAGACGAUGAUCCGCUCGCUGCUGUGCGCGGACCGGAGCCCGUCAAUGAAGUUGAGAAGGCCGGACAGGGUGACUAUGCUGCUCCUCUGCUGCUCCCCGGCUUGCUUGGGCGGGGCCCUCAUGGUGGCGCGGCUGCCGAUCAGGUCGAGGGAGUAGUCGAUGUCCUCGACGACAAUGAUGGACUUUCCCGUGGUCUCAAUGAAUAGCUUGCACAGGUCAUUGUUGGUGGUGAGUGUGGUGAGCUCGAUGUCGUAG
This 315-nucleotide ribosomal RNA is filed under the name Triticum aestivum (bread wheat). RNAcentral describes it as "partial small subunit ribosomal RNA". The record is from RNAcentral. Lineage: Eukaryota; Viridiplantae; Streptophyta; Magnoliopsida; Poales; Poaceae.